ACAUGCAGUCGAGCGGAUUGAUGGGAGCUUGCUCCCUGAUAUCAGCGGCGGACGGGUGAGUAACACGUGGGUAACCUGCCUGUAAGACUGGGAUAACUCCGGGAAACCGGGGCUAAUACCGGAUAACUCAUUUCCUCGCAUGAGGAAAUGUUGAAAGGUGGCUUCGGCUACCACUUACAGAUGGACCCGCGGCGCAUUAGCUAGUUGGUGAGGUAACGGCUCACCAAGGCAACGAUGCGUAGCCGACCUGAGAGGGUGAUCGGCCACACUGGGACUGAGACACGGCCCAGACUCCUACGGGAGGCAGCAGUAGGGAAUCUUCCGCAAUGGACGAAAGUCUGACGGAGCAACGCCGCGUGAGUGAUGAAGGUUUUCGGAUCGUAAAGCUCUGUUGUUAGGGAAGAACAAGUGCCGUUCGAAUAGGGCGGCACCUUGACGGUACCUAACCAGAAAGCCACGGCUAACUACGUGCCAGCAGCCGCGGUAAUACGUAGGUGGCAAGCGUUGUCCGGAAUUAUUGGGCGUAAAGCGCGCGCAGGUGGUUCCUUAAGUCUGAUGUGAAAGCCCACGGCUCAACCGUGGAGGGUCAUUGGAAACUGGGGAACUUGAGUGCAGAAGAGGAAAGUGGAAUUCCAAGUGUAGCGGUGAAAUGCGUAGAUAUUUGGAGGAACACCAGUGGCGAAAGCGACUUUCUGGUCUGUAACUGACACUGAGCGCGA
This 719-nucleotide ribosomal RNA is filed under the name Rossellomorea vietnamensis. RNAcentral describes it as "bacterial SSU rRNA". It matches the Rfam family "Bacterial small subunit ribosomal RNA", at positions 53 to 756 of the family's 1533-position model. Lineage: Bacteria; Bacillati; Bacillota; Bacilli; Caryophanales; Bacillaceae. The record is from RNAcentral.